GUGAACCGGGAAGAGCUCAAAUUUUGAAUCUGGCGGUCUUUUCGGCCGUCCGAGUUGUAAUCUAGAGAAGCGUCUUCCGCGCUGGACCGUGUAUAAGUUUCCUGGAAUGGAACGUCGUAGAGGGUGAGAAUCCCGUCUUUGACACGGACUACCAGGGCUAUGUGAUGCGCUCUCGACGAGUCGAGUUGUUUGGGAAUGCAGCUCAAAUAGGGUGGUAAAUUCCAUCUAAAGCUAAAUACAGGCGAGAGACCGAUAGCGAACAAGUACCGUGAGGGAAAGAUGAAAAGAACUUUGGAAAGAGAGUUAAACAGUACGUGAAAUUGCUGAAAGGGAAACGCUUGAUGUCAGUCGCGUCGGCCGGGGAUCAGCCUUGCUCUUUUGCUCGGUGUACUUCCUGGUCGACGGGUCAGCAUCAGUUUCGACCGUCGGAAAAUGGCUCGAGGAAUGUGGCACUCUUCGGGGUGUGUUAUAGACUCGGGUCGAAUACGAUGAUCGGGACUGAGGAACUCAGUACGACCUUCGGGUUCGGGGCUUCGGCUCACGUUAACGUGCUUAGGAUGCUGGCAUAAUGGCCUUAAGCGACCCGUCUUGAAACACGGACCAAGGAGUCUAACUCGCAUGCGAGUGUUUGGGCGAUUAAAACCCGAGCGCGUAAUGAAAGUGAAAGUCGAGACCUCUGUCG
RNAcentral lists this ribosomal RNA (682 nucleotides) under Suillus lakei. Its description in RNAcentral is "LSU rRNA". It matches the Rfam family "Eukaryotic large subunit ribosomal RNA", at positions 93 to 749 of the family's 3401-position model. Lineage: Eukaryota; Fungi; Basidiomycota; Agaricomycetes; Boletales; Suillaceae. The record is from RNAcentral.